AACGAACGCUGGCGGCAGGCCUAACACAUGCAAGUCGAGCGGGACCUUCGGGUCUAGCGGCGGACGGGUUAGUAACGCGUGGGAACGUGCCCAAAGGUACGGAAUAGCCUCGGGAAACUGAGAGUAAUACCGUAUGUGCCCCUCGGGGGAAAGAUUUAUCGCCUUUGGAUCGGCCCGCGUUGGAUUAGGUAGUUGGUGGGGUAAUGGCCUACCAAGCCGACGAUCCAUAGCUGGUUUGAGAGGAUGAUCAGCAACACUGGGACUGAGACACGGCCCAGACUCCUACGGGAGGCAGCAGUGGGGAAUCUUAGACAAUGGGGGAAACCCUGAUCUAGCCAUGCCGCGUGAGCGAUGAAGGCCUUAGGGUUGUAAAGCUCUUUCAGAUGGGAAGAUAAUGACGGUACCAUCAGAAGAAGCCCGGCUAACUCCGUG
RNAcentral lists this ribosomal RNA (432 nucleotides) under uncultured bacterium. Its description in RNAcentral is "bacterial SSU rRNA". It matches the Rfam family "Bacterial small subunit ribosomal RNA", at positions 29 to 507 of the family's 1533-position model. The record is from RNAcentral.